Long non-coding RNA from Bombus pascuorum, 634 nucleotides. RefSeq lists it as uncharacterized. The transcript is spliced from 2 exons. NCBI's taxonomy places the organism in Eukaryota, Metazoa, Arthropoda, Insecta, Hymenoptera, Apidae. The record is from RefSeq and is a predicted model, not a curated record.
AGCCGAUUGUCCAUUCCGUUAAUAAGUUUCAAUAUUCUGUUGGACACGUAUUAUAUAGAGUCUGGUCAUCGUGAAAAAACGUUUGCCUUUCAUCUUUUCCAUCUCCUUUCUUUUAUACGAUCGUUCGACACGAACAAUGUCUGACAGAGCGAGUAGCCUUUAGAGCUUCCCACAGCAACAAUUCAGUUUCUGGACGUCUUCAAAAGUUCGGGAUACAUUGGUAGAACGCAGUAGCGGCGUUCGACGUCUUUCCACGAGACAUUGGCGAGAGAAGAGCGAAAGCCAGGCCUGAACAAAGAGGAAGACACCAGCUACGAGCAGGAGAGGUCAAGAUUGUCGCGAGUCUUGUGCGCGGCCGCGAGAGAAACGAGAAAUUCCUAUUUACAUAUUUAUUCCACGAAGAAGAUCCACCGGAUAGACGGAAAAUGUCGUGACGCAUUAUCGGGUCCUUUUCAUGAGAAAAAUUCCCGGUUGCUCUUUCCGUGACCGAGAUAUGUAUGGCUGCUCUAUCAAGCUCUACCACUGUCUUCCGUAACAUUCUGUCUGACUGAUCGAAACGGGGACAAUUAGAUGCAAGCUUCGAGAUUAUAAAUGAAUUGAAAAUUAUGCGGCAAAUGUACGAGUACAAUAAGUC